RNAcentral lists this long non-coding RNA (207 nucleotides) under Cicer arietinum (chickpea). Its description in RNAcentral is "long non-coding RNA (CARI_LNC002432)". The record is from RNAcentral. Lineage: Eukaryota; Viridiplantae; Streptophyta; Magnoliopsida; Fabales; Fabaceae.
UCCGUUUCAAUUUGUUCAUACCAUCAUGAAUUCAUCAUGCAAGAAAGAAUCGUAUCGAGUUUCAUUUUGUUCCAUACUCUUUUUUUCCUUUCUUUUUUCAUCCAUCCUCUUCCUCAUCCUUCACUCUCUUUUUUAACAUUUUUUUGUGUAGUUUGGCAAACAAAGUGAAUAACAUUGACCAUAACCUUCUCCUAACACUAACCCCAU